Molecule: long non-coding RNA, 1010 nt
Filed under: Pogona vitticeps (central bearded dragon)
Lineage: Eukaryota; Metazoa; Chordata; Lepidosauria; Squamata; Agamidae
Description: lncRNA (ENSPVIG00000010498.1)
Source: RNAcentral
AUAAAUAGCAGUAUACCUUACAGUGAUAGCAAUAAGCACAAUUAAAUACGUCGGUCAAAAUAGUAAUUCUUUUGAGAAAGGAACAAAUGAAAAAUGGAUCUGAGGACCAGUGCCUCUGAACAUGCAGAAGAACCAUCCCAAUUUUGAUAUUAAGUUCUUUUAUUUAUUUCUUUUUUUAAAUUAACACCCAGUGCUAUGUAUAUCUACUCAUUAAAAUAUAUUAGUUAGUCUUUAAGGCGCCACAUGUUUUUGUCUUUUUUUUUCUUUCUUUGGAUUUUGCCUGAUAUACUCAAAAGUCAGUCCACUUGAGUUCCACGAGGCUUAUUCCAGCAUAAGUGCAUACAGGAUGCAUUGCAGCCUAAAAGGGAACUUUUGCUAUCCUUGCCCUCAAUCAAUCUCAUUCUAGUCUUAGGUUAAUCCACCCGCACCACUCUCAAGAAUUACUCUUUCUCAAUGGUUGCAAUUCAGAGCUGCAACGCAGAGAGCCACUGUGCAUUUUGAAAAUAGCAAAAGUGAGCACGGAAAUUGAAUUUUAGGUAUUUAAAAACAGAUGGGUAUGGGAAAGGGGCCAAGUACAGCUCAGGCAUUCUAAGAUGUAGAGCUCUCUGCCCUUUUAACAAUUAAAGAGCAGGGUUACUCUUGACGGGACAAGAACUUGAGCCAAGGAAAUGCUGUGGAGCAGCAGGCUUGGUGGCUUAGGCUGGUUGGAGAGAAGGAACCAACUGGUUACCAAGUAUAACAAAGCAAUUGAAUUAGAAAAAGAACAUCAGAAAGAGACUGAAAGGCGAUUAGAGGAGUCGGAGCGCUUAGUCAAGGAGCAGAUCCAGUUGCUAGAUGACACCAUAAGACAUUACACGAAAAUCAUUCAAGAACAGCACACACAGGUUCGUCAAAAUGGCCAAUGUAAACAAUUUGCAUUUCCUGCUUUAUUUAAAUCUGUAAUUAUUAGAAUUAUAGCAUGUAUAUUACCCACUUUAGCAGUCAAGGUAUCGUAUGGCAAAAUUAUGUAG